GGCCUAGUGGCGCAACGGUAGCGCGUUCGACUCCAGAGUCUUGAUUUCAAAAUCUUGCUCCAGGAGAAGGUAUCGAAAGGUUAUCCGUUCAAAUCGGGUCUGGGUCA
Non-coding RNA from Hypoxylon sp. CI-4A, 107 nucleotides. The record is from the annotation of a GenBank genome assembly. NCBI's taxonomy places the organism in Eukaryota, Fungi, Ascomycota, Sordariomycetes, Xylariales, Hypoxylaceae.